RNAcentral lists this ribosomal RNA (295 nucleotides) under uncultured bacterium. Its description in RNAcentral is "partial 16S ribosomal RNA". It matches the Rfam family "Bacterial small subunit ribosomal RNA", at positions 334 to 646 of the family's 1533-position model. The record is from RNAcentral.
CUUUCCUACGGGAGGCAGCAGUAGGGAAUAUUGCUCAAUGGGGGAAACCCUGAAGCAGCAACGCCGCGUGGGUGAAGGAGCACCUCGGUGCGUAAAGCCCUAUCGGCAGGGAAGAAACAGACGGUACCUGACUAAGAAGCCCCGGCUAACUACGUGCCAGCAGCCGCGGUAAUACGUAGGGGGCAAGCGUUAUCCGGAUUCACUGGGUGUAAAGGGAGCGUAGACGGCGACGCAAGUCUGGAGUGAAAGCCCGGGGCCCAACCCCGGGACUGCUCUGGAAACUGCGUCGCUGGAG